GUCACCGAGCAGUGACUAAGUUUGUGUUAAAAGCCUUGCAGCCAUUUGCCACAGCAGAUGGUCCAAGCCAGCUCCGAACAGCCAGAACUCUGGUUCAGACUGGUAGAUGUUGUACAGUGUCCUCCAUCGAGAGUGUCGCACAUGAUGCAACCGCCUAUCGAGUAUCCGGCAGCAAACGUCUCUGCAGGACAAUCAGGGCUCUCCCGAACCCAAGCUUCUUGUCGACAGUAGAGUGUCAGUUUCAUUAAUGCUGUUCUUGUUGUGAUUUAUUGAUAAAAAACUGCUGAGUUUAAUUUAACACUUUAUUAUUAUUGAAUGUAAUGAUGAUUGCAGACUGCAUAGAGGAAUAGCAUUAGCAUAGCGAGGGCAUUAGUAUGUUAGCUCUGUUUUCCUUUGACCCUGUGUCGAGGAGGCUGCUGUCAGGAUCUGCAGAUCUGCUGAAAGCAGGAAAAUGUGAAAUGCAAACUCAACACUUUUUCUGUUUAACUCCCUCACAGGAUCUGCUGCUUUGUUUAUUAAUGGUUUGUUUUGUCUUUUUUGUUUCUUACAUGCAUCCUUUCACAGCUCCACACAAGAUUCUGUUUUUUUUUGUUGUUGUUGUUGUUUAUUGCUUCUUUUAUGUUUUGUUAUGUAUCUUUUUCAUCUUUUCUAUUCAAUGAGUUUAGUUGUUAUUUUGCACUUGUUAAGAAGCUCAGGUUUGACAAAAGCAGCUGAAUGAACAUCAGAGAGAGAUUUUUCUGCCUUCUGUCUUUUUAUUCCUUUCUUUUCUUCCCAUUAAAGUGUUUUUUCUUUCUUUCUGAUAAAAGCUCACAGACAAGGAGAGAGAAAAGAGAUAACUCUGUUAUUGUAGCUCUAAGUCUCUCUGACUCUAAAUCUCUUUUAAGAGGAGGUAUAAAACUACCUGACUGCAUCCCUUAUUAGCAUUGCACUGUGUGUGUGUGAGUGUGUGUGUGUUUCCCUGCAUUGCUAUCUUUGUGAGAACCACUCUUAGGACUCUAUCAUCUUUGCAAGGACGUCAAAUACUGUCAUUUUGUCUUUGUUGGUGGUGCCCUGACACAACUGCAAUAAGGAGGAAUAAAAACCCCAUGCACCAAAUCACAAAUCCUCUCUGAUUGGGUAAAUAUAGCUUUUUUCCCCUCACAGGUUAUUUGUACACUAUCUAUACAUGCACUGCCCAAGUUUCACAUCAUAGCUUUCCAACACACUUUGUUUCUGAUUCUUACAGCCAGAAACACUACUGUGUAUUACAUGAUGGAUAAGGUUAACCAAGAAAAACCAGAUCUUUACUUUGACGUUUGUCACAACGAAGUUAAAACUCACAAUCCUUUUUGCUAAGUGUAAUUUGCUGACUUUUAGCAUUUAUUGUGUUAGAACAGUGUAGAGGAGACAGGAAAGCUGAGGAGAGAGAACAGAGAGACAGAUGCAGCAGAUGCCCUCAUGGCGGAUUUAAACUCGGCUUAUGGCAUAUGGGUCACUUGCUCAACCCAGUGAGCUAAACCAUUGCCCAAAACAUAUGAUCCUUAAUGCUGUGCUUUUAUAACUGCUACAACUUGACUUGAGAAAAUGCCUUGUUGAUUCUACAGGUCAGAUGAGAAUGGCCAGACUCCUUCCAGCUGACAGGAAGUUGACAGUAACUCAAAUAACGACUCAUUACAUGCAUCCUUUGUCCCAUAUCCACUAUCCCUCCUCUGCAUAUGUACAAUGAUCUGAACCUUGUCUCUCUAAGUUUGUCUCCAAACUAUUCAACUUGAGCUGACCCUCUGAAGUGUACUCAUCUCUAAUCCUGUCCAUCCUGGUUACUUCCACCUACAAUUUGAGCAUCUUUAACUCUGCUGCACACAUCUCCUGUCUUUUGAUUAGUACUGCUUCUCUGGUGUAUGUAAAAUCCUCAGUGUUGACAAGAAGACAUUUACUAGAAUAUUUUAUAUUGUAGAACAAAGCACAAAACAUCUCAAGUUCAUGUUAACACAGACCUCAUUUUAGGCAUAAAAAACUGUUUAAAAAACCUGAUGAAUUUGAGAGAAGGAAAGCUGGAGUGCAAAGUGUAAACUCAUUUCCAUGGUUUAUCACUCAUUCCUGCAGCAUUAUAAAAGAACAUUCUCCUUCUGAUUUCUCCACAGCUUUCUUUCAGUACUGUGUCUUUUCCCUGUCAAUGUGUGGGUAGAUACUUACCUAGUCUCUUUGUGUUACCUUGAGUUGUGAUGAGGUGGAUUAGAAAUUCUGCUUGAGUCUACAUAGGUCAGGUAGGGUCUUGUUUAACAGCUUUAGGUCUUCUGUUUCAAUAUGUCCGAUACCUGAGUGGAUAAAAUGGAUGUGAAUUAAUAUCUGACAAGAUUAUAAGAUCUGAACCUUAAGUUGUAUCAUUCUGUCUUCCGUGGAUGCUGUUGUCACUAUUAUAUUUCUGCUUUUACCAGUAUAGAUGCUUGUUUGUCAAUUGAAUUGUUGUGAAUUGAAUUGAAUCUAAUUAAAAUUGAAUCAGGUUGAAAAACUCC
Molecule: long non-coding RNA, 2492 nt
Organism: Oreochromis aureus
Lineage: Eukaryota; Metazoa; Chordata; Actinopteri; Cichliformes; Cichlidae
Exons: 2
Source: RefSeq, a predicted model, not a curated record